GACCUCAAAUCAGGUAGGGCUACCCGCUGAACUUAAGCAUAUCAAUAAGCGGAGGAAAAGAAACUAACAAGGAUUCCCCUAGUAGCGGCGAGCGAAGUGGGAUGAGCUCAAAAUUGAAAUCUGGCGUCCUCCGGGCGUCCGAGUUGUAAUCUAUAGAGUCGUCUUCCGUGCCGGAUCGUGUCCAAGUCCCUUGGAAUAGGGUAUCAAAGAGGGUGAGAAUCCCGUGCUUGACAUGACGACCGGUGCUCUGUGAUAUGUACUCUACGAGUCGAGUUGUUUGGGAAUGCAGCUCUAAACGGGUGGUAAAUUCCAUCUAAGGCUAAAUAUUGGCGAGAGAGAACAAGUACCGUGAGGGAAAGAUGAAAAGCACUUUGGAAAGAGAGUUAAACAGUAUGUGAAACUGUUGAAAGGGAAACGAUUGAAGUCAGUCGUGUCGGGAGGACUCAGCCGGCACUUGUCGGUGCAUUUCCUCUUGACGGGUCAACAUCAGUUCUGGUCGACGGAAAAGGGCGGUUGGAAGGUAUCCACCCUUUACCUCUUUUGGUUUGAGUGGACAUAUUAGCCCACCGUCGCAUCCGUCGGGCAAGACUGAGGAAUGCAGCUCGCCUUCAUGGCCGGGGUUCGCCCACGUCCGAGCUUAGGUUGUUGACGUAAUGGCUUUAAACGACCCGUCUUGAAACACGGACCAAGGAGUCUAACAUAUGUGCGAGUGUUUGGGUGUCAAACCCGGGCGCGGAAUGAAAGUGAACGUAGGAGGGAUCCGUAUGGAGCACCUUUGACCGAUCCGGAUCUUCUGGGAUGGAUUUGAGUAAGAGCAUAUAUGCUGGGACCCGAAAGAUGGUGAACUAUGCCUGAAUAGGGCGAAGCCAGGGGAAACUCUGGUGGAGGCUCGUAGCGAUUCUGACGUGCAAAUCGAUCGUCAAAUUUGGGUAUAGGGGCGAAAGACUAAUCGAACCAUCUAGUAG
This 965-nucleotide ribosomal RNA is filed under the name Tremella lichenicola. RNAcentral's name for it is "eukaryotic LSU rRNA". It matches the Rfam family "Eukaryotic large subunit ribosomal RNA", at positions 1 to 950 of the family's 3401-position model. The record is from RNAcentral. Lineage: Eukaryota; Fungi; Basidiomycota; Tremellomycetes; Tremellales; Tremellaceae.